GUGCUCGUUUCGGCAGCAUACAUACUAAAAUCAGAACGACACAGAGAAGAUUAGCAUGGCCGCUGGGCAAGGAUGACACACCAAUUCAUGAAGCGUUCCAUGUUAAA
RNAcentral lists this small nuclear RNA (107 nucleotides) under Chinchilla lanigera (long-tailed chinchilla). Lineage: Eukaryota; Metazoa; Chordata; Mammalia; Rodentia; Chinchillidae. The record is from RNAcentral.